RNAcentral lists this ribosomal RNA (494 nucleotides) under uncultured bacterium. Its description in RNAcentral is "partial 16S ribosomal RNA". It matches the Rfam family "Bacterial small subunit ribosomal RNA", at positions 28 to 507 of the family's 1533-position model. The record is from RNAcentral.
GGCGAACGCUGGCGGCGUGCUUAACACAUGCAAGUCGAACGGUGAAGCGCCUUCCUUUUUGGUGGGUGUGGAUGAGUGGCGAACGGGUGAGUAACACGUGAGUAACCUGCCCCCUUCUUCUGGAUAACCGCAUGAAAGUGUGGCUAAUACGGGAUAUUCUGGGUCUGUCGCAUGAUGGGUCUGGGAAAGAUAUUGUUUCGGUGGGGGAUGGGCUCGCGGCCUAUCAGCUUGUUGGUGGGGUGAUGGCCUACCAAGGCGGUGACGGGUAGCCGGCCUGAGAGGUUGGACGGUCACACUGGGACUGAGACACGGCCCAGACUCCUACGGGAGGCAGCAGUGGGGAAUAUUGCACAAUGGGCGCAAGCCUGAUGCAGCGACGCCGCGUGAGGGAUGGAGGCCUUCGGGUUGUGAACCUCUUUCGCCAGUGAAGCAGGCCUGCCUCGUUUGUGGGUGGGUUGACGGUAGCUGGAUAAGAAGCGCCGGCUAACUACGUG